CUGAUUAGACCUGUCCUUGAUUGACAGCUCCAUCGCUCUCCUGUUGCACAUGUUAGGGUGGGACAAACUCCUGAAGGACUUGUCACCUGUAUUUUCCCUGUGGGUCAUUCGUUUCACAGGAAUUCUAAAACAAGGACGGUGUCACACGAAGCUCCCCACGCAGAAAGCGUCAUUUACUGAGAGGAGGAGGUCUAAAGCAGAAGUGAUGAAGGCAGCCUCAUACAGUACCUGUUUCAGCGGCAGCACUGAGACUCACAGUAUAAGUAAGUGUGUGCGCGUGCUGUGCGGAGGAGGGGGAGGCGACGGCAGAGGACGAAGACAGUGAGGAGGUGGGGGGCUGAGGGGUGGAGGAGGAGGAAGUGGAGGCAACGGUGGCAGCUGCUGAUGAAGUCUCGAUCUUGCUGCUGUGUGUGAUGAAGCGCAGUCGCAGCUUCAUGGCCGGACGUAAGGUCAUGAUGAUUUUCUCCACCUGGAGAAAGAGAAACCGAGAGAAAGUGAAGAACAGAUGUGUAUACACAAAUGUAGUUGGGCAGCAAUGUAUUGAUAACUACAAAAAAAAAGAGUAAAAGUAAGGUAGAGAAAGAAACCGUUUAAGAAAAUCUACUAAAUGCAUGAUUCUGAUUUUGAUUUAAACUGACCUCUACAGUUAA
Perca flavescens (yellow perch) is the source of this 650-nucleotide long non-coding RNA. RefSeq lists it as uncharacterized. The transcript has 3 exons. Lineage: Eukaryota; Metazoa; Chordata; Actinopteri; Perciformes; Percidae. The record is from RefSeq and is a predicted model, not a curated record.